Molecule: long non-coding RNA, 1273 nt
Organism: Acipenser ruthenus (sterlet)
Lineage: Eukaryota; Metazoa; Chordata; Actinopteri; Acipenseriformes; Acipenseridae
Exons: 2
Source: RefSeq, a predicted model, not a curated record
GUUUAUGAACCCGAUCUCCCUCUCAAAUUCAAAAUUCAUCGCUUCUUCGAGUUCAAACGCAGAUGAGCAUAUCCGGUUCUUUAUUUGGUUUGGCAACACGUGACUCUCAUCACCCAAGAUUCCAAUUCCUCCAUGUUUGUGCGAAUCUGAGUGUAGUUAAAUGGCACGAAGAUAUACAGAGCGCAUGCUAGAGGAAAGCACUGUGUGUGUGUGUGUGUGUGUGUGUGUGUGUGUGUGUGUGUGUGAGAGAGAGAGAGAGAGAGAGAGAGAGAGAGAGAGAGAGAGAUACAUGCAGACAAGAUAGAACUCAAUAACAUAGAUUUAUUUCAAGAAUUGUUCAACAGACAACUCUUUAGCAAUGGAAAAAAACUACAAAUAACAAGGAAGGUUCUCAAAAUGAUUUUUUUUAGCUAUACUAAUUUAUGACUAUGCAGUAACAGUCUGAUUCCGUCCUCAUGCCUUCAGUAUAAAUCAUUACAUUGUUAAUAUGUACAAGGAUAACAUAAAAUUACUGUUCUGCCUAGAUUACAAUAACAUGAACACAACGUCUUUUUUUAAUAACAGGUAAAUACUAAAAAAAAAAAUACAUUUUUUAUCGAUAUAAAUACAUAAUGUGUGGGAUAAAUAAUACAAAAAAAAAGAAAAUAUUUUAAAACUGGCUAUAACGAAUAAAUAUAUAUUUAUGGAUGCUCACUAGAACACACGUACUGAAAGACGCCCACGAUUGGUGCUGAUUGGACGUCUUUCGUAUGAAAGAUUACUUGUUUCACCCAUUUAAAAUGUAAACUCUAAGUGCAACAAAAUAUGCCCCAGACCAGAACGCAUUAGCAAAUACCAAAAUGUCUUCGCUUCUGCUUAAUUUCCAGGACAUAGAAUUUGUUCAAAUAUACCCUGUUUUCACGUCAAGUCAAGAGAACAUAAAAAAUGUGGGCUGUUAGCAUUAGCGUUGCCUAAUGCAAGUGAACCCUAAAAAUUGUUUGAGAAAGAACAAACUCCACACUAUAUAGAAAGAGGCAAUGCAGGAGACCGUGUUCUUUGCCCACAAGUCUAACACACGGAGCUGAAGACUUUGAAUGUAAACUUAUAAAUAAUAAGUCCCCUUUUUAAAAAAAGAAAACAACAAAAAAGGGAGUUAAGUUGCUAAACUUGGAUAUUAAACCUAUUGGAGAAACGGGGCGACGAUUCCGUAACGACAAGCAACUUUUGUCAGGUACGUAAUUAGUAAAAAAAAAAAAAAUAAAUAAAUAAAAAUGAAAUAAAAGUAUCGUGGCAA